RNAcentral lists this unclassified non-coding RNA (309 nucleotides) under uncultured fungus. RNAcentral describes it as "sequence contains ITS1". The stretch from base 1 to 105 matches the Rfam family "5.8S ribosomal RNA", at positions 50 to 154 of the family's 154-position model. The record is from RNAcentral. Lineage: Eukaryota; Fungi.
GAAAUGCGAUAAGUAGUGUGAAUUGCAGAAUUCAGUGAAUCAUCGAAUCUUUGAACGCACAUUGCGCCCUUUGGUAUUCCUUAGGGCAUGCCUGUUCGAGCGUCAUUUAACCCCUCAAGCUCAGCUUGGUGUUGGGCGUCCUGUCCUCUGCCCCCCCGGGGGCGGGGACUCGCCUCAAAUCGAUUGGCGGCCGGUACAUUGGCUUCGAGCGCAGCAGAAACGCGAACUCGAGGCCCAGUGCGCUGGCUCCCACAAGCCACUCCAUCUAAUUUUGACCUCGGAUCAGGUAGGGAUACCCGCUGAACUUAA